RNAcentral lists this ribosomal RNA (492 nucleotides) under uncultured bacterium. Its description in RNAcentral is "partial 16S ribosomal RNA". It matches the Rfam family "Bacterial small subunit ribosomal RNA", at positions 29 to 507 of the family's 1533-position model. The record is from RNAcentral.
AGUGAACGCUGGCGGUAGGCCUAACGCAUGCAAGUCGAACGGCAGCACAGUAAGAGCUUGCUCUUACGGGUGGCGAGUGGCGGACGGGUGAGGAAUACAUCGGAAUCUACUUUUUCGUGGGGGAUAACGUAGGGAAACUUACGCUAAUACCGCAUACGACCUACGGGUGAAAGCAGGGGAUCUUCGGACCUUGCGCGAUUGAAUGAGCCGAUGUCGGAUUAGCUAGUUGGCGGGGUAAAGGCCCACCAAGGCGACGAUCCGUAGCUGGUCUGAGAGGAUGAUCAGCCACACUGGAACUGAGACACGGUCCAGACUCCUACGGGAGGCAGCAGUGGGGAAUAUUGGACAAUGGGCGCAAGCCUGAUCCAGCCAUACCGCGUGGGUAAAGAAGGCCUUCGGGUUGUAAAGCCCUUUUGUUGGGAAAGAAAAGCAGCAGGUUAAUACCCCGCUGUUCUGACGGUACCCAAAGAAUAAGCACCGGCUAACUUCGUG